GGAGAAGUGUCCGAGUGGUUGAAGGAGCACGCCUGGAAAGUGUGUAUACGUUCAUAGCGUAUCGAGGGUUCGAAUCCCUCCUUCUCCGCCA
RNAcentral lists this transfer RNA (91 nucleotides) under Gammaproteobacteria bacterium. Its description in RNAcentral is "tRNA-Ser". It matches the Rfam family "tRNA". Rfam says of the family: Transfer RNA (tRNA) molecules are approximately 80 nucleotides in length. Lineage: Bacteria; Pseudomonadati; Pseudomonadota; Gammaproteobacteria. The record is from RNAcentral. RNAcentral also lists the same sequence under 1 other name.